GCCCGGCUAGCUCAGCCGGUAGAGUAUGAGACUCUUAAUCUCAGGGUUGUGGGUUCGUACCUCACGUUGAGUG
Non-coding RNA from Cricetulus griseus (Chinese hamster), 73 nucleotides. Lineage: Eukaryota; Metazoa; Chordata; Mammalia; Rodentia; Cricetidae. The record is from Rfam.